AGUGAACGCUGGCGGUAGGCCUAACACAUGCAAGUCGAACGGCAGCACAGUAAGAGCUUGCUCUUACGGGUGGCGAGUGGCGGACGGGUGAGGAAUACAUCGGAAUCUACUUUUUCGUGGGGGAUAACGUAGGGAAACUUACGCUAAUACCGCAUACGACCUACGGGUGAAAGCAGGGGAUCUUCGGACCUUACGCGAUUGAAUGAGCCGAUGUCGGAUUAGCUAGUUGGCGGGGUAAAGGCCCACCAAGGUGACGAUCCGUAGCUGGUCUGAGAGGAUGAUCAGCCACACUGGAAAUGAGACACGGUCCAGACUCCUACGGGAGGCAGCAGUGGGGAAUAUUGGACAAUGGGCGCAAGCCUGAUCCAGCCAUACCGCGUGGGUGAAGAAGGCCUUCGGGUUGUAAAGCCCUUUUGUUGGGAAAGAAAAGCAGCAGGUUAAUACCCCGCUGUUCUGACGGUACCCAAAGAAUAAGCACCGGCGAACUUCGG
Molecule: ribosomal RNA, 491 nt
Filed under: uncultured bacterium
Lineage: Bacteria
Description: partial 16S ribosomal RNA
Rfam family: Bacterial small subunit ribosomal RNA
Source: RNAcentral